This 305-nucleotide ribosomal RNA is filed under the name uncultured bacterium. Its description in RNAcentral is "bacterial SSU rRNA". It matches the Rfam family "Bacterial small subunit ribosomal RNA", at positions 331 to 635 of the family's 1533-position model. The record is from RNAcentral.
CUCAACCUACGGGGCGCAGCAGUGAGGAAUAUUGGUCAAUGGACGCAAGUCUGAACCAGCCAUGCCGCGUGCAGGAUGACGGCUCUAUGAGUUGUAAACUGCUUUUGUACGAGGGUAAUAUCGGAUACGUGUAUCUGCUUGAAAGUAUCGUACGAAUAAGGAUCGGCUAACUCCGUGCCAGCAGCCGCGGUAAUACGGAGGAUCCUAGCGUUAUCCGGAUUUAUUGGGUUUAAAGGGUGCGUAGGCGGCUUUCUAAGGUAGAGGUGAAAAUUCGGGGCUCAAUUCCGGACGUGCCUCUAAUACUG